RNAcentral lists this ribosomal RNA (327 nucleotides) under uncultured eukaryote. RNAcentral's name for it is "partial 18S ribosomal RNA". It matches the Rfam family "Eukaryotic small subunit ribosomal RNA", at positions 1470 to 1796 of the family's 1831-position model. The record is from RNAcentral.
CCCUUAGAUGUUCUGGGCCGCACACGCGCUACACUGAAGGAGGCAGCGUGUACUCCUGGAUCGAAAGAUUUGGGUAACCCGCGAAUCUCCUUCGUGCUAGGGAUUGAGGAUUGCAAUUAUCCUUCAUGAACGAGGAAUUCCCAGUAAGUGCAAGUCAUAAGCUUGCGCUGACUACGUCCCUGCCCUUUGUACACACCGCCCGUCGCUACUACCGAUUGAAUGAUUUAGUGAGGACUUCGGACUGGGACCGAUGCGGCUUUCGGGCUGCGUCGGUAUUCUGGAAAGAUGUCCAAACUGUNUNAUUUAGNGGAAGUAAAANUCGUANCA